CGGCGGACGGGUGAGUAACACGUGGAUAACCUACCUAUAAGACUGGGAUAACUUCGGGAAACCGGAGCUAAUACCGGAUAAUAUAUUGAACCGCAUGGUUCAAUAGUGAAAGACGGUUUUGCUGUCACUUAUAGAUGGAUCCGCGCCGCAUUAGCUAGUUGGUAAGGUAACGGCUUACCAAGGCAACGAUGCGUAGCCGACCUGAGAGGGUGAUCGGCCACACUGGAACUGAGACACGGUCCUG
Molecule: ribosomal RNA, 244 nt
Filed under: uncultured Staphylococcus sp.
Lineage: Bacteria; Bacillati; Bacillota; Bacilli; Caryophanales; Staphylococcaceae
Description: partial 16S ribosomal RNA
Rfam family: Bacterial small subunit ribosomal RNA
Source: RNAcentral